This 1696-nucleotide long non-coding RNA is filed under the name Strigops habroptila (Kakapo). Its description in RNAcentral is "lncRNA (ENSSHBG00005003120.1)". The record is from RNAcentral. Lineage: Eukaryota; Metazoa; Chordata; Aves; Psittaciformes; Psittacidae.
GUUUUUCAAUCCAAUGUUUCUUUUAUUUCUGUUCAGGUGAAUGGAAGUCACGGAGUUAGUACAGUAUAAUUCACAAAUCGAUCCCCUGACCGGGCGCAGGGCCAAGGGGUGUCAGGCUGCACGAUCCCGAUGGCCUUUGGCAACAGUGACCUGACAGCAGGCUCUAAAGUGGAUUUGUUUCUCCUUGGAGAAGAGUUGUGCUUUGGGAUCUCCCCUCCCACUGUUCCUCAUCAGCCUGCUGGGGUAUGGCAAGAGUGAAAUGGCAUCACCAGCGCAGGGCUGAGCUUGCCACCUCCCAGCCACGGGGGCUGUGCUGGCACUGAGGAGGGGCUGGGGUCCCUCAGGCUUUGGGAAACGAGGAUCCCUUUCCAGAAUGCUACGGCAGCCACCUCACAAGGCACUGCUCUGCUCUGAGAGCAUUUUGGCUAAAGCCUGUUGGGUUUUGAGAAGGGACUGCAGCAGAUUGCUUGGGGCUUGUUAUGUCUGGUUUGCAAAUGAGAAGGCAUGAUGAACCACCUGACCAACCAAGCACCCAUGAAGCCCUAAUUCAGACUGAUCCAACAAUUCAAUAAAUAACUCCUCACCUUGGAGAAGGUGGGAAACAAAAAUGGAAGGAGGAAGGGAUGGUUGGAAGAACUCUGCCCCCAACCCAUUCCCUCCUCCAAUGUACACACACGCACACACACAUGACAAAUAAAAUAAGGGGUUUUAAAAGUUUUCAGGUGGGUUUGAAUUCAUCUAGUAAAGGAGGUGUAAAAAACAACCAGCCCACCCCUGCACGCUUUUAAAGCAUACACAGAUGAAGCUGGGUGAAGGUCAGUUGUGACUGCGCCGCUCUCCCCAGCUGCUCAAGGGUGGCACUGGUGGGCAGGAGCACCAGCGUAGUGCCCCUUGCUGGCACUGUCUUGAGCUUUUCUGCCCUUGCCUGGAAAAGGAAUGUUCCUCCCUCUCUCCAAUGGCAGCAACGUCAGCGGUGUUUAGCAGCAGUGUGGGGUAAGAUGUCCUGAGUAGGGCGCGUGAGCUAUGUCCUAGCAGCUGUACACCGUCCCCUUGGGUCCUCUCAGCCCAGUAACGGAGCCCACCCAGCUCUGGCGCUCAAGGGAGGGGACAGCUCAAAAUAAAUAGGGCACCAGUUAUGGUUUUGGCUGUGGCUCUAGAGCCUUGUGACACGGGAGUGUUUUCCUAACAUUUUAGUUUAGGCCAGUAAAACCCAAAGAAUCCUGGCUCUAAUGCAACAGUUUUCUCCCGAAGUUAAAAAUGGGACAGAAAGAGGACAAAAGCAGGCAGGCAGGCAGGGACAGGCAGGCCCAGUCCCCUCCUGGCCGAGGUCAGAGGCACGUGGAACUGUCACAGUUAGAGCGGGAGAAGGGACAGGGAGGGAGCAGUUAGUGCAAGUUUUCCCACAAACACAAAACUCCUUGGGGCUUGCUUUUCAGUUAAUGACAAGAACACGCAAUGGGGUAACGUAUCCGAAAAGCAAAUCCAUUUUCUCCUCGCCUCCUUAGCAAGGCUUCACAGAGCAGGGACAGUCAUGCUCCUCCACAGCCUUGGGAAGGGGAGUGCUUUGGUCAGAGUGCCUCAUGCUGGGCAGAGGACUGGCAUCUCCCCAGGGCAGCAGCUCCAGUGCCUGGGGAGGGAGCAUGGGGAGAGGCGAGGGGAGUGGAGGGAGACAAGCCCCCUUCCUGGCAGGAAUCCC